RNAcentral lists this transfer RNA (76 nucleotides) under Bacillus paralicheniformis. Its description in RNAcentral is "tRNA-Cys". It matches the Rfam family "tRNA". Rfam says of the family: Transfer RNA (tRNA) molecules are approximately 80 nucleotides in length. Lineage: Bacteria; Bacillati; Bacillota; Bacilli; Caryophanales; Bacillaceae. The record is from RNAcentral.
GGCUCGGUAGCUCAGUGGGUAGAGCAACGGACUGCAAAUCCGUGUGGCGGCGGUUCGAUUCCGUCCCUGACCCCCA